Non-coding RNA from Varroa destructor (honeybee mite), 6778 nucleotides. Lineage: Eukaryota; Metazoa; Arthropoda; Arachnida; Mesostigmata; Varroidae. The record is from RefSeq and is a predicted model, not a curated record.
UCCAGUGUUCUAUCGCAAAGAUUUUCAUGCCCUCCGUUAACUUCCACAUGGACCUAGCGUAUUCAUCAGGUAUAUACGAGCUGUACAAUAUUCGUUAAGCAUAGAGUAAUCUUUUUAUCAGGUUAAUUUGCUGAAUUGAAGUGAUUCGAAUUGAUCACAUCACUAUUAGUGCUUAAUUUUACAUGAAUCUCCGGAUGUCGGAUGAGAACAAAUAUCGGUGACCUACUUACUCUUUCCAGAACGUCAAACCGAAAUCUAAUCCUGACUGAAAGAGCUCACCAAUUUUUUGUGUAGAUUUUUGUUUAGAUUUGUAACUACUACUUACUACUGUAAGUUCGCUACAACCAAACACUUAGAAGCUAUCAACUUAUAUCGACAACGACUAUGAGCAAUGAAAACUGCGCUAAAAGGGAAAGGUCGACCGAUAGGUUUGUAAUCAGUGCUUCUUGGAAGGCGCACAAUUCUAUCAAGAUCCGCUAUUUCAUCCAUAGAAGUUGACGCUAACUUUUCGCUGUGGGCUAAGGCCUUCUUUCGUUUCACCCUGAAAUUCUCGUGUAUCUUAAUGCGAGCAUCAUGAACAGUUCUCUCCUCUCCGCUCGUAUCUCGGGCCGCUCGCUGUCACAGACAACAUUCAUUUAUUAUAAACCCUUAAUUCUCGGUCCGCUUUUUCGCUGUUUCCUUUGUCUAAUAUUAAACUGCAUAAUCAAACUCGUUUUAUGAAAAAGCUCUUGAUAUAUCCUCUAGGCUUUUGAAAGGUCAUUCUGUCGAAAGGCACCGACUAUUCCUUUGGGAAGUCGGCGAUGAACCGAAACAGACAGGGUCUGUCCUUUCUCAAACACAAAAAUAGGCACAACAGAGUCAAACAUCGGGUAAGCAGGACACCGCAGUGUGCAACGAUCUUCUCUUUCAAGGGCCUAAAGAGACUAGCGCCACGACUGUAGUUGAAUUUCACCGUUGCGGCCUCAUCCCUAAAGUAGUCGAGAGAAGCCCGAGACGGCCAUACUCUCUUGUAUAAUGCACCUACAGCAUCGUUUUCCAUCGAAUUGCUGUAUACCACUAUUCUGCCUAAAGGACGGCUAUACUUACUUGUAGUUUCGUGCAAUGAGCUGUUGAUCGCGACCUAACCGGCGAUGCUUGCAGAGAUACUCUGUAAAGCCCUAGCUUGUGCCUUUCUUGUCUGGCUUAUCAACAAGCUCGCUGAUUUGGGCAUCUAAUAUAAUAAAAAUACUGUGUUCGCUUAUAUGAGCCAUGUCAGCGAUCGACAACUAAACUCAACCGACAUAUCUGAGAAAAGCAUCAUAUCGUUUACCUGGAGUGGACUAUAGUCAUAUGUAGACCAAAGAAGUUUCCUGUUCAUUCGGAAUAGUCUGUGACUCAGUGUUGUAAGAAUUUAAUUUAGUUAGUGCAAUGAGUUACCACAGCUAUGGCUCGAGUCCGAGCUCGACUUUUCGUCGACAAGUUUUGCCCUCAUUAUCGUCCUCGCUGUACUUAUCGACGCGCAGCCCACUUCUUUAUCGACCCUCGACCUAUUCGACGAAUUACUCGUUACCGAGUUCAACGUACCGACGGUCGGUCUAUAGUUCAUCAGGAGCUCCUAACAGUAGAAGCCGCUAUGAGGGCUCUUUGGAAGAUCUCCCAUCAGAUAAAGAUUCCGUUACCGCUAAAGUUGACAGCCCUUCAGCUUUGCGGAAAGGCAGUUCUACUCGAAGUUUUGGCAGUGUCACCACAUGCGACGAUAUAGAUAAACCUGAACGAGACGAUCUAUCAGGUGAAGAUCUUACAACGGAAAAUUAUUACAAAAGGCAGCCCAGCUCGCACAUACGUAUAUCCAGUAUGAACGUCAUUGCGCUCUCUACUCAUCACAUAUAUGAUACGCAUCGUGUCUCAGCCAAUAUUGCCCAUUAUGGAGCUCUACGAAGAGGCGACGUCCCAGCGCGAAUCUGAGGAAGCGGCCUUAGUUGCCGAACUGAAAGAACAGAUCGAUCUACGGCAGAAACUGAUCUAUGCGAUCAACAACCUUCAGGCCCUACAACAUGAUUUGAACGAUACCAGCGAGAUGUGCAUAUUAUUGGAGAAGUUCGUUCCCGAUAGAAAAAAACGUUGACAAACAAUUAACAUGAAGCAAACUCGUUCUAGGAAAGUGCGUGACAACGCCAUAUGAAUAUGAGACGCGUUUACUGAAGUCACCUUAGUGACCCGAAGUGAAGUAUUCGAGUUAUCUUUAUGUACAAACACACACAGCCGAAAUUUAGCUUUAACAACUGUGAAAAUGCGUUCUUUCAUUCUUGUCAGAGAAUAUGUUUCGUAAAUCGACAAUCUUAUUACAUCCAUAGGGACUUGUCGAUUUCUAUUAUAUUUUCUUCAACAUAAAUUUCAUUCAAAUGGGACCGUAUUUAUAAUAAUGUAGUCAGAUUAUUUGUGCUAUUUGUGUGUAAAAAAUUUCCAUAGUUUGUUUUUCGCUAGAAUUUUCAAUCUCGUUGUUCUGUAACGAGAAGCUGGGAUCGAAUACCGAAGAUACAAAUAAACCAAUCUGCGACUAUUAUUUUUUUACCCAAUCCUACCUAUGUCAUAAUACAUAGUCCACUUUGGUGUGCAUUUUAUCUGUUUCCCAGCUAUUAUUUAUCUACAUUUUAGCCAAGCUAGUUUUACUUGUCACAAACUUAUCAUUGAUCGCAUGCAAUUUUCACUUUCAGCGCCUUGGAACGGUCAAAGAGGAAAGUAGGCGUCUGAAAAAACAGACGUCAUUAAAGUCGCAACGAGGCAACGGUGUGCGAAGGUUUUGAGCGGAAACCCAAUAUCGCAUAAACUGGCUAACGAUCAUUUGCAGAGUCUGAAGUGCAAAGGAUUUUAAAGCACUCCUCAACGAAGUAGAACUGGGUUGUUUUAUGCACAAUCCAAAUCGUAAGAAGCAGUGCACCUACGAGCAUCGGCAAAAGUGACGACCAAUGGAAGGGCGUUAACACUGACGGAAAUGUUAGUCCAUCGGCAUAGGCGAAAUCGUAGACAUCUUCAUGGGAUGCUUCGGAAAUCGGUAAAAUGCUACCAACGUCUUCGGCCAUCACAGAUUGCACGGUGUAAAUGGUUAUUGUAAUAGAGGCGAAAAGAUUCUCUUUCGAUUUAGGGUUUACUGCAACAAAGAUUUUUGGCUAACAAUUUCCACUGUACAUAUUGCGCUACUAUCGUAAGCAGUACACUUCAUGAAUACUGCACAUAACUUAAUAAUGUUGCGCAACUUUUUCGCGUCGUUCAUAUAAACCAGUUUCUGAUUAUUAGCGUUCACUCAGUCAACUGCCACCAGACCAUUCAUUGCUCCUUAUGACGCAGCUCGGGGUCAGAAUCUGCUAUCGCAGGGCUAUCCGCGAAUGGCGCGCCACGACCCUGACUUCACGAGAGCCCUUUCCAGCGCAAUGCCUUCGCCACUAAGAUUCCGUUAGUAACGCAGAAAGACAUCGUGUUGUUAAAAAGCUGCUACAGCUGACAGGUAUCCUGUGUGGUACAAAUGUAUUACAGAUGCUGGUAUGCUGCACUCAUUAAUCCUUGCACGAUUCAUCCUUUGGCCGUACUCCCUUAUGUUCGACUGUCUAUAGGUGAACGAUGUUCUACGAUCGAAAUAACAAAAAUAUAAAAAUAAAUCAAAUUAGAAUGUAAUUAAAAUGCAUACGUCGCAUGAUGUAAAGCAAGGUUCAAUGUUCGUGUCGUACGUCCGUCCUGCCGGCGGCGGACCCGUGUCAAGAUUUCCCUGGGUAGAAGGUAAAGACUUAGGAGAUCACAGAACACAAAUAAUGUUGUGAGUAUAGCAAGCAUAGUGUAUAUACACACUCUAUUUAAUACUUCAUGAUUACUUUUUAUUUUCAGGGCUAGAUUGAUUAGAGACAAUGAGUAGAUGAACGUUACCUUUUGAACAACAUUUUUUCACUCUGAAAUGCAGAAGUACGAAGCCAAUAUCAAAAGGAGCUUCAGGAAGAUUUAUCUAGGUGACUCACAAUUAAUUGGAUAGAAGAUAAGCUUGAAACAGGCAAAACUGUUCAGGAUAUUCGUAAAUAAAGUUCUGGAAGGUCAACAAUACCACUGAGUAUCACCACUGAGAGGACAACACUAGAAAAUUCGUGAGACGCUCAAAUAGUAAGGUUGGCAUUAGCAUAUCGAGCAAUCAUCACUUUUUUUAAUACAUUCUAGAUGGAAAAGUUAUAUUUUAACAAUGGUCUAUGCUAGCAAUCAAGAUGCUCCGUGACGAACAGGAUAACAAUCUGGUUUUCAAAGAAGAUUGAAGCGUUAAAGCUGUAUUCAAAGUAAAGGGCAUAAUUAAAAUGUAUUAUUGCACCUACGGGGCAACUGGAAACCCGCAUGUUAUGCGAGAAUACUAUGUAAAUAGAGCAGGAGUAACAGUUCAGUGUGGAAUUAGAAGCAAACGAUUCGGACCAAUGUUUUAUGACACUUUGCAAGGAUCAUCGAACAGCACGGAGCAUCCGCGCUUCACUAUCGUUAUAUGUCAGAAACGGGUGGGCCCAGAUAAAGCGGUCCUAUAAAAUAGCCAGUCCGUUACCUAGACUUGAAGCCAAUCCACUGUUUCUUGACGAGAUAUUUUAAAAAUAAGGUCUAUAGUAAUAGAAUUCAGAAAGAUUAGCUCCACAGUACCAAACCAAACGUUUGUUAAGCUCAUGAAUCAAUAGAGCACCACUAUCAACAGUAUGUUGAGUAUCAUUUGGAGUAUCUGCGCUAGAGUAAUGGAGAUUUACAUUUUGUGGUUUCCCCGACAGCAUGUGAACGAGUCGACAUUGUCAUGUCAAUACCUUGUUUCGCUUCAUGCAGGGUAAUCCAGCUUGUCCGCUCUGUUUGAUAUCUCAGGCAACCAUUGACCGGCUCUCUAUAAACAGGUAUAUUAUAUUACUGGAAGAUUGGAAAAAUCUGCGAAUCUGUUAGAAAUCAGUGCUAAAGGCGGCGGAAUACAGCCUUUUUACAUUUUGCUAAUGGAAAUGAUUUGUGUAAAUAAACGGCUUCUUAUUACAUAUGUUAAAUGCAAUAAUAUUACCAAUUCUCAGUCAAUCUGAAUAAGGUAAACUGCUUUAGAAGGCUAGUCCGUUUCGAGCCUGUACGUUCGUGAUUGUGCUUCAUAUACUCUCUAUAUAGUUUGAUUCUUCUAGUCUUAGCAUUUAUUUAAAACGUGAAAGCGUUAGCUACGCAAAAAAACAGCCUCUAGGAAAAUAAUAGACAUGGUUCAGUAAGGUAUUGUAACACGUAAUACUUUUUUUUUUUUUAUUAAAAGCUUUCAAUUGUGAUUCUACAUUAUCGUGUCGCAUUGAAAUAGGUUGUGUAAAGAAAUCGAUAGAUAAAAGUUUCUUUUCCUUUGAAUAAACAACAGAAAUUCAGAAACAGGUAUCAGUAUGUUAUUUUUAUAUAAAAACUAUAGAUGUUUAGGCGUACAUCGUUGUCUUUCACGAAGCACCAAUGUGAAAGGUUCAUUUGAAAAGCAUGAGGGCGCACCUUAUCACACUUAUAUCACAAUGUUUUUUUCAUUAUUUCACUUUUUGAUCUGUUGUAAUGCCCAACCUACGAGGAAACUAACAUGCCACCUUGUAACAAACAGCGUCUGGAAAUUGAACGUGUGAGAAAUAGACGUACGACAGCAACUUUCCAGUCCGAGAAAUUCAUAUGUUUACAACAUUUUAAGCUGGGCAGCUCAUUUCGGUACUUACUUACUUACUCAGCGCGAAACGCACUGUGACUUGAUAAGAUCCAACAUUGUUUGAAAUGGGCUUCUUUGAUCGAAGAGUGGUCUACACGACGUAAGAAUAAAGCUUUUCUAGACUUGAAGAUCUCCAGUUUUGAUCCCUUUAUAAAGAGAAGGCUCAAUCUUUUUAAAGUAGUUUUAGAGCUCAAUCCACCGAAAUAUUUUGGCUAGAAAACGUAAGUUUCUCUCUAAUAAUGCCGCUCAAAAAUGCAUAACUUAGAGAAUAUUGUAAGCAAUAUUUAAACAUAGAAGAGAUCAGAAACACAUUAUAUUUGCUUCUCAAAACUACCUUUCUUCUCAGAGCUAACUAGAAUAACUUACUUCGAAAAACAGAAGCGCGAAAUUGGCUGGUCACUGGCAGGCCUAACCUAUGCAAUAUUUUUUUAUUAUAUUAUUAUCGAACUUACAGGGUAUGUGCAAAGUUAUGCCGUUUUAGCUUAAAAUACGGUACUUUUGAAAUUAGGCCGGAUACUUCUAAGAUAAAAUUAUGCACUUUUUAAAUCAAAUCUGAUUCUUUUGAUCAAAUCAGGCUUUUUUUUUUUCGAAAUGUAUAUAAUUAAAAUAAAUAUUCUCGUUAUCUUUGUAAGACAACGUUAAUAUGGUUGCAAACGGUCCGAGUAAAGUGUGUUAUUAGAUACGUUAAUUAUUGAUAGACCGAAUAAAUAUACGCUCCUGCUCAGUAACUACCGCGCAAAGACCUUUAACACCGAAUUGAACUGGGGUAACGGACUGCUAAUAGAUUACGCAAUCCAGUGUGUUAUGAGAACUUUAAAUUUAAACAAAUUAAGCUAGUAGACUAGACGAAUUGCGGUAUUAGAGGAGAUACAAGAAAAAAUUCGAAUUAGUCAAAGAAAAAUGAGGUAGACAAAAUAAUAUUGCUAAAACAAUGGUGUAGGUUUCCAACAAUAGAAAAGGAGUGGAAGGAGGUUAAGAUUAGUAGAUAGUGAGGCUCUGGUAGAAACAUUAGAAGCUAAAUUUAAAGCUGUAUUGUAUUUUACUGUGUUGGAAGCCAGCUGUCUGAACGGCUUAGGUACCGUACGUAAAACCGCU